RNAcentral lists this ribosomal RNA (497 nucleotides) under uncultured bacterium. RNAcentral's name for it is "partial 16S ribosomal RNA". It matches the Rfam family "Bacterial small subunit ribosomal RNA", at positions 28 to 507 of the family's 1533-position model. The record is from RNAcentral.
GAUGAACGCUGGCGGCGUGCCUAAUACAUGCAGGUCGAGCGAACAGACGAGGAGCUUGCUCCUCUGACGUUAGCGGCGGACGGGUGAGUAACACGUGGAUAACCUACCUAUAAGACUGGGAUAACUUCGGGAAACCGGAGCUAAUACCGGAUAAUAUAUUGAACCGCAUGGUUCAAUAGUGAAAGACGGUUUUGCUGUCACUUAUAGAUGGAUCCGCGCCGCAUUAGCUAGUUGGUAAGGUAACGGCUUACCAAGGCAACGAUGCGUAGCCGACCUGAGAGGGUGAUCGGCCACACUGGAACUGAGACACGGUCCAGAAUCCUACGGGAGGCAGCAGUAGGGAAUCUUCCGCAAUGGGCGAAAGCCUGACGGAGCAACGCCGCGUGAGUGGUGAAGGUCUUCGGAUCGUAAAACUCUGUUAUUAGGGAAGAACAAAUGUGUAAGUAACUAUGCACGUCUUGACGGUACCUAAUCAGAAAGCCACGGCUAACUACGUG